Molecule: long non-coding RNA, 14721 nt
Filed under: Populus trichocarpa (black cottonwood)
Lineage: Eukaryota; Viridiplantae; Streptophyta; Magnoliopsida; Malpighiales; Salicaceae
Description: long non-coding RNA (PTRI_LNC000395)
Source: RNAcentral
AAACAAUGAAUAAGACCCAUCAAACUUGAAAGUUGAUGUAUUUAUUUCCAGAAAUGUUUUUUUUUUUUUGAAAGAAAACGAUAUUUUGAUGUUCUUAGCAUGCCAAGUCAGAAAUUUCUUUUUCUCCUUUACGAUUACUAGUUUGGUGUUGUUUUUUUUUCCCCAGUAUCUUUUAAAGCAUACCUUGAGGAUUCCAAAGCCAUAGAACUCAACCUUUUCUUCAGUAGGAGCAUGGCCUUUGAAAGGUCCUUCAAAGAAACCCCAAUGCCUGAAUUUGAAAGAAAUCACUGGAGGCCCUGAAUAUACACUCAGCACUUCCCAUGCGAAUCCUCGAGGCAAGGCAGAUCGAAAGGCAUCAUGAGAUGAUUCGAAGGUUUCUUCAUCUGCUUUGUAGUACUGAAAUUCCUUCGGCAGAGAACUCUUCAACAAAGCAUUGUAGCUACCAAUCCUAAGCGUCUCUUCUGCUGCUAAUCCCUCUCUUCCUAUCAUAGAGUAAAAAUAUUUACAACGCUUAAAUUAUUACCUUCGUAAUUAUAUUUAAUAGCUUAAAUCAAAUAUAAGAAUAAUUUAAUAAGAAACCAAAUUGAGUUUUAGUUUGAUGAACCAUUAACAAUGAGCUUGAACGUGUCAGGGUUGAUGGUCUUAAUGUCCUGUACGCGAGUCUUGUGUUCGAUUUCCAUAUCCCAUGUCUUUAUAGCAUUUUGCACUACUUCUUCUAGCGAUCCUUUUGGCCAUUCCUUCAAACCAUAUAUCAAACACAGAAAAUGAGACUCAAAAAUUCAAGGGUCAUAAACAUAUACAUAUACAAAAAAAAAAAAAAAAACAUAAAGCAUAGGCACUAAGGGUAUAAAGAAGGUUGAGGACCUUAGUUCGGCCUUCUUCAAAGAGCUGAUUUACUGUAUCGAAAUUGGGAGGGCCACCAUGCCUCCACUGUGUGGUAUUCUCAGUGUCUUCAUGCAAGAAAGAUCUGUAUUUAUCUCCUACUUUUAUAAUCGUACAUGCUUCUUCAGUAGCCAUAUAAACUUCCCCACAUGGUAUACUACUAAGGUUUAAUUUUCUGAGGCUCUAUAUAGGGCUGGAGAUGGCCACAUUUAUAAAAGACACAUUUGUUUCUUCUGCCUGGUGCAUGCAUGAUAACCACAUAACAUUGACACCAGAUGUAUCAAAUAAUAUAAUUUUUUAAUAAAAAAAAAAACAGACGUAACUUAUGGUUUUUUCCUACCUCGACCACCAGAUGCAAUUUUGUUUUUCUUCUUUUGUUUGGUUUAUGGAGAGGCUCAACGGAAACAAAUGUACAUAGUUAGAUAUAGGCCUCUUAGGACGAAUUUGAGACCUUAUUCAAGCAUAAAUUAUAAGCUUAUUAACCACUUUGUUGGGUUUGUUUUCAAGUAUGUUUGGUAGUGUGAUAAUAAUUAUUUUUUAAAAUGUUUUUUGUUUGGAAAUAUAUUAAAAUAAUAUAUAUUUUUUAUUUUUUAAAAUGAUUUUUUAUAUUAACAAAACAAAAUAAUCUGAAAAUACUAAAAAAUAUUAAUUAAUUUGAAGUAAGAAAAAAAUAAAAAAAUUUAAAUUUUUUUAAAAACACUUUUGAAACACAAAAACAAACAUGUCAAAAUAUAAAAAACCAUAGUAUAUUCGAUAUAAAAUCUUUCAAAAAAAAAAAAAUAAUAAUCUCAUUCCUGCAAUCUUCCCUGUAAAUGACCAAAAUAUUAAUUUUAUCAUUCCGAUACAAGUCGUCUUCGGAUGUUGGAUAAAAGAAAUCUAACAUCCGAUAAUUUACGAGUAAAUAAUAGUGUGAUUAGAUGACAAAUUUGAAUAGCAAUUGUGUACUAUCCACACCAUUUAACUAAUACUAUCAAGAUCUAAAGUUCAACCGAGUGCCUGAAUGUAUUUGGUGAGACUUUUUGGCUAACUUAUGCCUCAUUUUCCUUGAUUCUACGUAAGCCCUUACGUAAACUUGGGCAGUGAUCAGGGAAGAUGGAAAAAUAAACCAAACGAAAGGAGAUUGAUUGCACAAGAGCUCGCCUAAAGAAAAGUCCAGCGGUCAUAGAUAUAUAGAAUAACAUAGAAAAGUUCAGAAUCUGGCAUGGACCCCAGAGAUCUUGAUUGCAAGUGAUCUUUGGCUUGAUGAUAUUAAUUAAUAAUCCUGAAUUGGGUGUGCCUUACCAAUAAUGCUAAAUUCUUGUUAGUUUAUUACACAAACAUUCAACCAUCCUCGUGAAAGAAGUGCUUCUAGGCAAUGCAAUGCCAUGAACAACUUUAUUGGUUCUAAUUCUCAAAGCUAGGUCCCAUGAUAACACUCAUGAAAUUUGAAAUAUAGUAGUAUAAUGUUUGAUUAAUAUCUCAGAAUAAAAAAGAAUAAAAAAGAUGAAGACAUGUCUCUUAUUUUGAAAAAGACUAUAAAAAAAAUUAAUUUAUUUUUAUAUUUUUAUCUCUUUAACCAAACACAUUUUUAUUUUUAUUGUUUCAAUUUUUUCAUUUUAGAAAUAAUAGCCAAAUAAUAUCCAGGAGGCAACUAGAAAUCAACAAAAGAAAUUACACGAACAAAGCUAGUCAAUUUUCAACCUUGUUAGCAAGUAACCGAUAUAUAUAUAUAUAUAUACAUAGACUAUCCGUUAAACAGGAAUAAAAGAUGGAAGAUCUUUGGCAGCAUUAGAUUCCUUUGAUAACAGGGUUAUAACUCCGUGUAGUAAGAAUCUUUGGCAGCAUUAGUUUUGCACAUCAUUUUCACUGAUUUGGAUUGGAAGUAUGAAUGAUGGUUGUAUCUUCAUUGUUCCCCAGGCUUUGGAUUGCAGUAUUUAUUGCUAAUGUGUUGAUUGUUGAGAAUUCCUCUAUGCUGUACUAUUCCAGCAUUCGCUUCAUUGACCAAAUGAAAUUAAAAUUAACCCUGUAUAUUUGCUACUGAAUUGCAGAAACAAGGCUGCUGUCCUCCUUGCAAUUCGGUCCAGAAGAUGGGUGGCUCUCUUCAUUCUACUCAUGCUUGAUAAAAAAGGUAAACACACACAAGUUCAGAAUAUACCAGUCAAUAUGAAUCCAAACUAACCAUUUCCAGAUAAUCUAUUUGCUUUAGUUAGUCUCUGUGCUUCUUUGAAACUAACCUUAGUCCCCUGGUCUCAGUAUGACAAAAAGAGUGUUGUAGAAGCCAAGUUCAGAGAAGUUGAAAAAGAAAGCUGCAAUAGCAAUCCUUCUAGCGCAUCUAUCAAGCAUACACUAAAAAAUGAUACUGAUCUUUUGGCCUGCAAAGCAGAGUACUUCAAUCAGUGUGGUGAAUAUCAGAAAUGCUUUGAACUAACUUCAGAGUGAGUUUUUAACUUGUUUCAAACAGAAUACAUCUAAGAUCAUACCUUAGAUGUAUCAGGUCAUCUGAGCUUUAUCUUCUCUUUCACAGCCUGCUUGAGAAAGACCCUUUUCAUUUGAAAUGUACCUUAGUACACAUAGCUGCUGCUAUGGAGCUUGGAAAUUCAAAUGAGCUUUAUCUUAUGGCAUCGAACUUAGUGAAGGAUUAUCCUCAAAAGUGAGUUUUAUUUCUCUGCCUUUACUUUUAUGAUAUGCUCAUAUGACUUGUGCUCUUUGGAGUUGAAGGAUUACUCUCAGAAGCUACUUCUUUAUUUCCCUUUCAAUUUGAAGGAUUAUGCUUUGAUUGAGCUCUCUGUUUUCCCUUUUUACUUCUACUUUCUUUGCUCGCUAGAUGUGUUAAAGGCACAGGAUGGUUUGCUUGUCAUCAUGAAGGAAUGUGAUCAUGGUUAUUAUCUCAAAUGAUUUGGUGUUCAGCUCAGCUAGCUAACAUAAAUAAAGAAGUUAAAGACGUGGAAGUAAGAACUCUUGGCAACCAUGUGUCCACAACACCUGAAAUACCAUUCACAAGUAACAUGUGGGAUAUGCAUGUGAUUUGCUAGUGAUUACUUGCAUAGUCCAAUAAAAAGAACUGUGCAAGGAGUAGUAUUCAUCUGUUGUAGUUAUUGGGCUUCUCAUCCAUUAGGACAGUCACUCUCUCUUCCACAAAGCUAAAAUUUACCUGAUAUAUAACUGGCAGCAACAGUUUUCAGCUUGCAUACGUUUCUACCAUCAUAAACGGAAAGAUUGUAAAUCCUAAGAAGAGGUAAUGUAAUGGUGGACCUAUUAGAAUAGGAUGCUCUGACUGCAAGAUUCUUCCCUCCAAGGGGUAUGGCAUGUGAGUUAUUAUUCAGUUCCUCAAAUACAAUAAAAUCAUUGAAAGUGAGAACAACCAGUGCAGAAGAUUUUGAAUCAAUAAAAUGAAAUGGUACAUUAGAAGUGAAGAUGGCUUCAGGGUUGUCAAAAAAAAAAAAAAAAAAAAAAAAAGAGAAAAAAGAAGUGAGUGCAUUCUCCUAUUGUUCCUCACUUCUGUUGGAUGAUAAUUGGGUAUUGGCCUCCUUUUGUAUUUCUCUAGAUGUUUCGUUAUCUCCUGCUCAAAAUUGUAGAGAAAUGAUAUCUUCUGGAUGCUUAUCUGUAUUUCAUUCUUAAGUGCUUUUGAAUUACUAAUUAUGAAGUUUUGAAGAGAAAAGGACAGGAAAACAAAAGGAGAUUGUUUCUCUCUCAUAGACUUCACUUCAGCUUAAGUAUGAAUACAAGGAGUGCCCAUUAGAUAUUAUGUAAUCUUGUAUCAUGUGUACUUAUUAGGGCUUCUUGCCAUUUAGGGCUCUCUCAUGGUUUGCUGUCGGCUGCUACUACUACUGUAUCAAGAAGUUUGAUCAAUCACGGCGUUAUUUCAGGUAACUGUUGCCUGAAGCUCGGUAAACCAUGUACCUGUUUUGCUUCUUGUGGCCUUAUGGAACAAAUUUGAUUUUCUUCUUUAUCUCUUUUUUGACAUUACAGCAAGGCUUACAAGUCUAGAUGGAACCUUUGCACCUGCUUGGAUUGGCGUUGGGAAUGCUUAUGCUGCUCAAGAAGAGGGUGAUCAAGCAAUGUCGGCAUACCGCACUGCUGCUCGUUUAUUCCCAGGGUAAUUUGGACUAGAACCUCAUCACCUCUUCUAGUUGAAAAUAAUAUAAUAUUUCUUCACCGUGUAGUAAUUGAAGAGUGCGUGUUUUUGGCACGUUAUGUGCUUUUGUUAGGCUGCCUUUGUUCUAAGAAAAUAUUUUAGUAUUUCCCCGCAUAGUUGAAUUUCCCUGCCUCUCUAUCUUUAGGAGUUCUAUUUGAGGCCUCUCUACCAGCCUCCAAGGAGGUCCAUAUAUUAUUAAAUAUCUUCAAUAAAAAAGCUCUAAUUUAUAAAUUAAAAUAAAUAUGAAAAAGAAAACAUAUAUAGAAUUGGCUUACAAGCAGUAUAAGAAAAUUAAAGUGUUUCAUGUUCUUUGAAAAGUUUUUGAUAUAACUAUAAACGGAAACAUCCUAAAUAUACAAAUUUUAUAAAUAUAUGCGGGUUUGGGGGCCAACGUGUUUUCUCCAUACCCAACCCCAUCGUUGCAGACUUGCAGGUACAUAUGGACCUUUAUCGCAACCUUUUAAAAAAUAUCACUGUCUUUUAGUACUAUUCCUUCUACUUGUAAGAAUUGUAAAGGUUCAUCAUGGAAUUGUUAGAAUCUAUUUACGAGAAUCUGCCUUGAAGAUAGAGUUAAGUGCAGUCAAUUAUUUGAAUUUGAAUGUAAUUGUUUUUGUAUCAGAUUCCGCCACAGGAUUUGCUGCAGAGUCUGUUAUUAGAAGACGAAUAAUUUCUCAAGUUUGUUGAGAGUUUUUAUUAAUUUCAAGUUCUUUGUAAGCCUUUAAAUAGGCAUUCUCAAUUAAUUAAAAGUAUUGAUCUUUCUAUACUUAACUCUGCUAUUUAGAUUUUUUUUUUUUAUUUUUAAAUCAAUGUUAGCUAUCAGCAAAGAAUUCUAUCAGUGAUAUCAAAGCUUUAUAUCCUACGGGUUGUGAGGCAAGUAUUCUUAAUGAUAAACACAGAGAGGGUAAGGCAAGUAUUCUGAGUGAUAAACUCAGAGAGGGUGAGCGUAAACACUAUUGAUUUAUUCUUUUUUUUUGGUUCGAUGUCUACUUCAAGUAAUACUGCAUCUGCAAUUCCAGUGUUCAAUGGUGAACACUAUCAUAUUUGGGCUAUCAAGAUAAAGUUUUAUCUAAGAUCUCAAGGCUUAUGGAAUGUUGUAGUGUCUGAUUCCGAUCCACCACUAUUGACAACAAACCCCACCAUUGCUCAGAUGAAAGCACAUGAAGAAGAAAAACUCAAGAAGGACAAAGCCAUCAUCUGCCUACAUUCUGAACUUGCAGAUCAUAUUUUCACCAAAAUAAUGAACUUGAAAUCACCAAAACAAGUAUGGGACAAGCUCCAAGUUGAAUUUGAAGGUAGCAAUACAGUCAAAACAGUUAGGCUUCUUGCAUUAAAAAGAGAAUUUGAGUUGAUGAAGAUGAAAGACAAUGAAUCUGUCAAAGAUUAUUCUUGCAUGUUAAUGGAUGUUGUAAAUCAAAUAAGACUUCUUGGAAAAACAUUUGAAGAUCAUAAGGUGGUAGAAAAAAUUAUGAUGUUUGUACCACAAAAGUUUGAAGCCAAGAUCUCUGCAAUAGAAGAAUCUUAUGAUUUGCAAAAUCUCAUUGUUGCAUAGUUAAUUAGCAAACUUCAUGUACAGGAGCAAAGGGUACAAAUGAGAGAUGAUGUGGUUGUUGAAGGUGUUUUCCAAGCAAACAACAAAGGAAGGAGUACUGGUAACCUGCUAAGAAAGAAACCUGUCAAGUUUUCUAAGGGAAAGACAAGUAUAUCUUCAAGAAGACAAAUUUUCUCACCGUGCUCUUAUUGCAGAAGAACUAACCAUGCUGCGAAAGAUUGUUGGUUUAAGGGUAAACCUUCUCUCCGGUGUAUGUUUUGUAAUAAUCUUGGCCAUAGUGAAAAAUAUUGUAGAAUCAAGAAGAAACAAUCUUAGCAGCAAAUACAACAAGAAGCACAUGUUCUGAAGAAGGCAAAGAUGAUGAGGAGCAUCUGUUUAUGGCAUCUUAAACUUGCAACACCUUUGAACUGAAUACAUGGCUUAUAGAUAGUGGCUACACUAGUCACAUGACUAAGUUUCUGUCAAUUUUUUCUUCUAUUGACAGAUCAGUUCAACCAAAGAUCAAGUUGGGAAAUGGAGAUAUUAUGCAGGUUAAGGGAAAAUGCACUGUUGCGGUAAGGACAAAUAGAGGUACUAAAACUAUCACCAAUGUUCUUUACAUUCCAGAACUAGACCAAAAUCUUCUUAGUGUUGCACAAAUGCUAAGAAAUGGUUAUCAAGUCUCUUUUAAAGAUAGUUUUUGCUUUAUCACUGAUACACAUUAUUCAGAGAUAGCAAAAAUUAAAAUGGAUGGUACGGUAAUAGCUUCUAUUUGAAGCUUGAUACAUUUGAAGGGCAUGUCUUUAGUGCCAAAGUUGAUGAGAGUAUUGUUUGGCACAAAAGAUUUGGUCACUACAACUUAAAAUCAUUAAAAUUGAUGUAUGAUGCUGGUAUGGUAGAAGAUAUACCUGAAAUUCAUGUUACUGCCCAAACCUGUGGAAGCUGUGAAUUGAGGAAGCAACACCGACAGUCAUUUCCUAAAGGUAUAUCCAAAAGAGCUACUCACAAAUUGGAGUUAGUCCAUUCAAACAUUUAUGGACCAAUGAGCACAACCUCUUUGAGCAAUAAUGUGUAUUUUAUCUUGUUCAUUGAUGACUUCAGUAGAAUGACUUGGGUUUAUUUUCUGAAAACCAAGUCACAAGCACUUUCAAUGUUCAGAAACUUCAAGAGUAUGGCUGAAACUCAAAGUGGUCAGAAAAUUAAGGUGCUGAGAACUGAUAAUGGAGGAGAGUAUACUUCAAAGGAGUUCAAUGCCUUUCAUCAAGAAGUUGGGAUUGUACACCAGUUGAUAGUUCCAUACUCUUCACAGCAGAAUGGAGUUUCUGAAAGGAAGAACAAGACUGUGAUGGAGAUGUCCAGGUGUAUUUUGUUUGAAAAGAAGUUACGAAGGUUUCUAUGGGCUGAAGCAGUAAAUACUUCAGUAUAUUUGCUUAAUAGACUACCAACUAAGUUUGUUCAAAGCAGAACACCAUUGGAAGCAUGGUCUGGUGUCCGACCUACUGCCAAACAUCUCAAAGUGUUUGGAUCAUUGUGCUACUUUCAUGUGCCUUCUGCCAAAAGAGGAAAACUUGAUGAAAGAGAGAGCAGAGAAAAGAAUUCUCAUUGGAUAUGCAGCUGAAUCUAAAGGUUACAAAAUAUACAAUCUGAAUGGAGCUAAAAUUCAGAUUAGCAAAGAUGUGCAUUUUGAUGAGAAUUCCUGCUGGAAUUGGGACUUAAAGGAAGUUGAUCAUAAAACCACAGCUGCUCUUGAACCAGCAGUAAGAAGAACUGGUGUUGAAGAUCAACUAGACAUUGAAGCAACUUCAGAUACUAUAGUACUUAAGGUGAGGCCAUUGUCUGAUGUGUACGAAAGAUGUAAUCUUGUACAUGCUGAGCCUACAAACUACACUGAAGCUGCAAGAGUUCCAACUUGGAUUGAUGCAAUGAAAUCAGAAAUUGAUUCCAUUGAAAGAAAUGGAACUUGGAGAUUGAUAGAACUUCCUGAAGAUAAAAAGGAAAUUGGUGUGAAGUGGGUCUUCAGAACCAAAUUCAAUCCAGAUGGUUCAAUUUUCAUACACAAGGCUAGAUUGGUUGUUAAAGGCUUUGCUCAAGUUGCUGGAGUAAAUUAUGGUGAUACUUUUGCACCAGUAGCUAGGCAUGACACUAUAAGACUUCUACUUGCACUUGCAGGUCAAAAGGAAUGAAAAGUUUAUCAUUUAGAUGUCAAGUCUGCCUUUCUAAAUCGUAUAGUCCUUGAAGAAAUCUAUGUUCAGCAACCAGAAGGCUUUAAAGUUGCUGGUCAUGAACACAAAGUAUACUAGCUACACAAGGCUCUUUAUGGCUUGAAGCAAGCACUAAGGGCCUGGUACAACAAAAUUGAUACUCAUUUGAUUCAACUGGGAUUCAAGAGAAGUGAAAAUGAAGCUACUUUGUAUCUGAAACAAGAUGAAGAUGGUCUGCAGCUGGUAAUAUCACUCUAUGUUGACGACAUGCUAGUGACUAGAAGCAAUGUAAAAUUGCUAGCAGAGUUCAAAAGAGAAAUGCAAGAUGUUUUUGAAAUGUCUGAUGUUGGCAUCAUGAACUACUUUCUAGGAAUGGAAAUACAUCAAUGCAGCUUAGGUAUUUUUGUUUCACAAAGGAAAUAUGCUGUUGAUAUACUCAAGAAAUUCAAGCUUGAAUCAUGCAAAGAAGUAGCAACUCCAUUGGUACAAAAUGAGAAGAUUUCAAAGAAUGAUGGUGAGAAACUUGAAGAACCCUCUGCAUUUAGCAGCUUAGUAGGUAGCCUACUAUACUUGACAGCAACCAGACCUGACUUGAUAUUUCCAGCUGAUUUGCUAUCAAGGUUCAUGAGCUCACCUAGCAAUGUUCACAUAGGAGUUGCUAAGAAGGUGCUGAAGUAUAUUAGAGGAACAACCAACCUUGGCAUCUGGUACUCAAAGAUAGGAGGAUUUAAAUUAAUUGGAUAUGUAGACAGUGACUGGGUAGGGAGUGUUGAUGACAUGAAAAGCACUUCUGGGUAUGUUUUCACCAUUGGUUCAGGUGCAAUAUGUUGGAAUGCAAAAAAGCAAGAGGUGGUGGCACAAUCAACUGCAGAAGCAGAGUAUAUCUCCAUGGCAGUGGCUAUAAAUUAAGCAAUCUGGUUAAACAAGUUGCUUGCUGAUUUGGGCCAAGAACAAAGCUCACUAACUAAGUAUUAUUGUGACAACAAGUCUGCCAUUGCCAUUGCUCAAAAUCCGGUUCAACAUGGCCAAACCAAGCACAUCAAUGUGAAAUUUCACUACAUAAGAGAAGCUGAAAAGAAUCUACUUAUAAAGCUUCAUUACUGUCCAACUAAUGUUCAACUUGCUGAUAUAAUGACUAAAGCACUUCCUAGAUCAAGGCUGGAAUUUCUAAGGAUGAAACUUGGUUUGUCCAAGGCAAGUCUCAAAGAGGAGUGUUAGAAUCUAUUUAUGAGAAUCUGCCUUGACGAUAGAAGAUAGAGUUAGAUGCAGUCAAUUAUUUGAAUUUCAAUGUAAUUGUUUUCAUAUCAAAUUCUGCCGCAGGAUUUGCUGUAGAGUAUGUUAUUAGAAGACCAAUAAUCUCUCAAGGUUGUUGAGAGUUUUUAUUAAUUUCAAGUUCUUUGUAAGCCUUUAAAUAGGCAUUCUCAAUUAAUUAAAAGUAUUGAUCUUUCUAUACUUAACUCUGCUUUUUAUAAUUUUCUACUCUUCUCAAAUCAGUGUUAGCUGUCAACAAAGAAUUCUAUCAGGAAUAUUUUCGGCUUCAUCUUUCUUUCUGUCGCACGUGUGCGGCGUCGCGGCGAUCGAGUCCACUCUAAAAUCCUAGAUGUUGGUAUCCUGGAAAAAUCAGGAAAAUGGGGUACACAAGGAUUUCUUGUCUUUUAUCUGUGGAAAGCAGGAAUGAGAAUCGUCACCUAGUAUUUUGGUCACUAGAAACCCUAACUGGUCUCAGAGAUCGGGUACGAAGACUGGUUGCAUAAAGGGAAGGUAUUAACACCCCAAAUACGCCCUACCUAAAGUAAGCUGCAUUGUUUUAUUGUCCGAUAAAAUCUAAGGUAUUGUCGUUUUUUCUAGUUGUUGGUCCGUCCAUGAUUUAAGAAAAGUCCUCUUUAGUAAGGAGAUCCUUAUCUUAUCGAGUAAAACCUAAUUGUUCUAACAUCAACACAAGAAUUUAAUAUCCGGAAUACAUCUUACGUAUAAGAUCGUAACGCCAGAUACUAAAAGAAAACAAAAUAAUUUUUUUGGAAUUUAUGAAAUAUUGGCCUAGUUCUUGUGACUUUAAUAAACUGGUUAUUAAAGCCAAAAUGCAUGAUAAUACAUAUUUUUAAAUUUUUGUUGUAUGAAAAUAUGAUAUGAUUUUUUUUCUUUGAGAUACUUGGCCGAAUGCAUGAAAACAAAAACUUUUGAUACCGGAUUUAUAUCUUUACGGUAUAAAAAUACAAACUUAUAAUAAGAAAAAUUUAAUAAAAAAAUACGCGGAAAAAUCACAAAUUUUUUAAAAUAAUAAUUUUUUUUGAAUAAUUUUUUUUUUUUUGGAACUGAGUCUAGCUCGGUCCAUGUGGCUGGGCUGGACCUUAACAGCCUAACCUGGUCACUGGUUCAAGCCAGUGACCUGGCUGAGUAGCAGGCGUGCGUUACAAUUCACUUAUUUCAGUAGCAUGUGAAUUAUAAUCCACAGCUACAGUAGCAUGUGAAUUAUAAUGCAAAGGAGAGAAGAAAGGACUCACCUGGAGACGAAGCCGAAUGCACUGGUGUGUUGUUGGUCCUCUGUUCGUGUCUCUAUCCUUUUUCUGAGUUUUCUUUUUUAUUCUCUGCCCGUGUGUUGCUCCACUGUCUUCUCCUUUUGCUUCUUCGGUUUUUUUGUUCCUUUGUGCUUCUUCUGGUUCUGGAGAAAGGAAGCCGAUGGUGGUGCUGACCUCCUCCGCUGGUUUCCUGGUUCUGGAGAAAGGGAAGUCGAUGGUGACGCUGACCUCCUCUGCUGGUUUCCUGGUUUUGGCAAAGAGGACGCCGAUGGUGACUUAGCUCCCCUGUUCUCUGUGUUCUUUGCUUCGCCGUUUGGUUUCUCUUGUUUCUCUUCCUUUGCUCCUCUGUUCCCGUCUCCUUGUUCGGCCCUCCUUCGUGUCUCCCUCUUUUCUCCUGUAUUUUCAUUCCCCUUCUCUGCUCCUCCCCUGUUCUCUCUUUCUUUUUUUCUCCCCUCUUCCCUCCUUGCGUCCGUCCUCCUUUUCAAAACUUCCCCCCCUGUGUUCGGUCCCUUCUCUGGGCUUUAUAGCCAAAAGAAAAGUAGUUUAACCCUCUAAUCACACUAUUUCUGGUUGUGACAAAUAAAUUGCUUUGAACUCGCAUAACCGUUAAUUUCAAUUAGUUCACUGAAGCAAACCUAUAUUGAUGAAUGCUUUUUAGUUACAGUUUUUUUAUUUUUGGAAACCUUUGGUGAUCCUUUUAGUUCUUAGCAAGGUUCUUAUAGACUUUUUAGUUUCUGUUUCUCCUUUCCUAAAGCUUUUGUGUGAGUAUUUUUAAGGUUCAAGUUGGGAGCUUUCUUGGUGCACUUGGUGAAAUACAACAGAUAGGAAUCUAGUAUCAUGUUAUAGCAACUACUUGCUCAAAUUCCAUUGAUAAGAUUAUAGGAAGAUCAGCUCGGGCCUUCGUAACCCUCAACUCUUCAAGAAUAGGAUGGAAAGAAUUUUCUUGAAUACAUUAAUGCUUGUGUAAUGUGGUCAUAUAGAGGCUCCUCAUUAUCACAUGAUUGAUUUGAUGAGCAGCAUGGCUGACAUUGAGACUUAUGGUUUGAAUUUAUGUACAUAUUCGAGUUGGAGUCUUGUUUUUCUCAUCCACUUGUUGCAGCCAUCAUCGUAGAAAUACAAUUCUCUUAUUAUGUGUAUAAAUAAAUGACAUGGCAUAUAAUUGUUCAUUAAUCAUAUCAAACUACUAUGCCAGGAUUUACCAUGAAGCAAUUUCAUAUUAUGAGAGAGCACUUACAUUAUCACCUAGAAGCUUGAGUACCUAUGCUGGUCUUGCAUACACUUAUCAUUUGCAGGUAAAUUGAGCUCUUUUCAUUUCAAUGUAAGUCUGUUAAACUGACAUUUUAUUUGGCUGUUGUAGUUGAAAGCAAUAGUUUGAGAAAAGUAAUUGUAAGUGCUUGAAGUGGAUUAGUGCGGAUAAUGAGAGUGGUCAUGAAAAUCCAAAAUGUUAUGAAAAGUAAUCGGAUAAUGAGAGUGGCAAUGUUACAAUUUGAUACUAUCAUGAUUUACUGCUGCAAUCACAUGCUACCACAAGGUAAGUAAGAGUAUUGUAUGCUUUCAAACACAAAAUUAUACUGUGGUUAUAGUGUGCUUCCCCCAUCCCCUCUAUCUUCUUCGUCAUUAAAAUCCCCCAAGCCCUGGCCUUAUAAUAUUUUCUUCUCAAUCAGGCUUUAUGGCUGAAACCAGAUGAUCAAUUUUGCACUGAAAUGCUGAGCUUGGCACUUGUAGAUGAAGGUCGUCGAGGCACGGACCCCAAAAUUGAAUUCCGCUGAAAUGAGUCAUUUUUAAUGACACUAUUUAUACUCUUCUGUUCUUGUUGUAAUGUAUGUGGAAUCUGAAGUCCUUGAAUGGAUUGAUUCAUUUUGAUCCAUUUUAGAGUUGGGCAAUAUUACAUUAGGGAGAGUUUGGCAAUAUAUGUAAUUCUGUAUCGUUUGGUUUUAUCUAUUGAUGCGACGACAAAACCAAAAUUAUUUUUAGCAUAAAGAAGGAUGUUCAAGCACCGGAAGUAUGUUUUUAAAAAUUUUAAAAAACCUGCGCCUCAGCUUGAUCUUGUUGGUUAAAAUAAGAUGUUAUUAUUCAAGUAGAUAAAAAAAAGCAAUGAAAUUAAAUCAACCGAAUUAAAUAAAAAAAGAAGUGAUCAUAAUUUAAUUCUAAGAUAGAAACGGGAUAGUUCUUGCUUGACAGUCUAUGUUUAUUUGGAAGAAUCUGCUAAUGAAAAACAAGGUGAUGGUGUUAUUUAUAGGCACUUCACCCGUGACCAUUUCUUAUACACACCAAGAGGCAAAUGUUGCCUUGUGAGGAAUGGACAGACACACAACAGCAGAUGAAAUGGUAAUAAAAGCAAGCAAGCAAGCAAGCAAGCAAGCAAGCAAGCAUGCAGUUUGAUUCAUCAUACAAACGAAAGCAAGAAAACACUCGUGGCACAACGACAAACACAUGCCAGCCUAUGUUUAUUUGGAAAAUGGACAGCCACGCGUUGCUGUGGCGGUGUUGACAGUGUUAUCUUCUGAUUGGCAUGGCGAUAUCAGCGCCCCUUUCAGGAGCCCCCCAAAUAACUCUGCUGGGUCAUAAUAAACCUCCACAUCUUCUGCCCUCAAAGAUUCAUCCACCUGGGAACCCGGAAAGAAAUCACAGUUAUUUCGUCUUAUGUAUUAGGUUGUCCUUUAUUUUUAAGUUUUCUUCCACAAAUUCAAAAUUUUCAAGUUCUUAAAUUAUAAUUUCUUGUGAUAUUGUCAAAUGGAUACCAACUUAUCAAAUAAAAUGCCAUUAUGAAUAUUUUGCAACCAAGAAGCUAAAAAAAAUAUUUAUGUUAUCAGUAAAAGUUUUUCUAAUAAACUAAAUACCGACGGAAUAAGGCAAUGAUAAAAUGCAAAAUUUUGGACGUUAACAUAAUAAAAUUAUAAAAAAAUAUAUUAAUUUAAUUUUUUUCAAACAAAAAAUACUUUUAAAAUUUGGUUGAAUCAUAAAAAGAAAUACUCUACAAAUCCUCCAUAAAACAAUGAAUAAGACCCAUCAAACUUGAAAGUUGAUGUAUUUAUUUCCAGAAAUGUUUUUUUUUUUGAAAGAAAACGAUAUUUUGAUGUUCUAAGCAUGCCAAGUCAGAAAUUUGUUUUUCUCCUUUUCGAUUACUAGUUUGGUGUUUUUUUUUUUUUUUUUCCCAGUAUCUCUUAAAGCAUACCUUACCUUGAGGACUUCAAAGCCAUAGAACUCAACCUUUUCUUCAGUAGAAGUCUUAGCAUGCUAAGUCAGGAAUUGUUUUUCUCUUUUAUGAUUACUAGUUUGGAUUUUUUUUUAAUCUUUUCAGUAUCUUUAAUUAAAGCAUACCUUGAGGACUCCAAAGCCAUAGAACUCAACCUUUUCUUCAGUAGGAGCAUGGCCUUUGAAAGGUCCUUCAAAGAAACCCCAAUGCCUGAAUUUGAAAGAAAUCACUGGAGGCCCUGAAUAUACACUCAGCACUUCCCAUGCGAAUCCUCGAGGCAAGGC